Molecule: ribosomal RNA, 253 nt
Filed under: uncultured bacterium
Lineage: Bacteria
Description: partial 16S ribosomal RNA
Rfam family: Bacterial small subunit ribosomal RNA
Source: RNAcentral
UACGAAGGGGGCAAGCGUUGUUCGGAAUCAUUGGGCGUAAAGCGCGUGUAGGAUGUCUAUUAAGUCGGGUGUGAAAUCCCUGGGCUCAACCGAGGAAGUGCAUUCGAAACUGAUAGACUAGGAGAUGGUAGAGGAAGGUGGAAUUCCAAGUGUAGAGGUGAAAUUCGUAGAUAUUUGGAGGAAUACCGGUGGCGAAGGCGGCCUUCUGGGCCAUUCUCGACUCUGAGACGCGAAAGCGUGGGUAGCAAACAGG